This 64-nucleotide transfer RNA is filed under the name Myriopholis blanfordi. RNAcentral's name for it is "tRNA-Val". Lineage: Eukaryota; Metazoa; Chordata; Lepidosauria; Squamata; Leptotyphlopidae. The record is from RNAcentral.
CAAAAAGUAGCUUAAACAAAGCACUCGACUAACAACCGAACUAUAUCGCUAUCGAUCUUUUUGA